AUACAAAGAAAAAGACUCAUACGGACUUCGGCUACACCAUCAAAGCUUUGAGAAGCAAGAAGAAGCUUGGUUAGUGUUUUGGAGUCGAAUAUGACUUGAUGUCAUGUGUAUGAUUCAGUAUAAGAACUUAAACCGCAACCGGAUCUUAAUAGCCUAAGUAGUGUUUCCUUGUUAGAAGAUACUAAGCCAAAGACUCAUACGGACUUCAUUUACAACAUCAAAGCUUUGAGAAGCAAGA
RNAcentral lists this small RNA (238 nucleotides) under Arabidopsis thaliana (thale cress). Its description in RNAcentral is "ATSL271330". The record is from RNAcentral. Lineage: Eukaryota; Viridiplantae; Streptophyta; Magnoliopsida; Brassicales; Brassicaceae.